Molecule: long non-coding RNA, 1236 nt
Filed under: Cottoperca gobio
Lineage: Eukaryota; Metazoa; Chordata; Actinopteri; Perciformes; Bovichtidae
Description: lncRNA (ENSCGOG00000001680.1)
Source: RNAcentral
GUUGGCUAUAAUAAGCUAACCAUCACUAUAUAACCGUAACAAUGUGAAUUAUUGAUGGUAGCUAAAGGCUAUAUGUUGUAUUGUCUUCAUUGGUUUCACUUUUAUUUCUUUAGGAAAAGGAGAUGGCCAAAGGAAAAGCAAAGAUCGACAGCAGUGGUAAAGGAGAUGCUAUAACAUCUAACUUUGAUGUGAUGAACAGAAACAAUAUAAGUGAUUCACACGUGAGAAUAUUAAUGAUAAAGUGAUGCAAUUGUAUAUUAAGUAGAAUUUACCAUUUAGUUUCAAAUGCUGUCUUUCAAAAAAGAAUUAUAAUCAAAUUUCAGUGUACAGUUGCACAUUAAAGUUUAUUUUUUAAAUAACAUCAAUCAAAAAGACUUUGAUGUGCUACAGCUGAACAGAAACAAUAUAUGAUUUGAUAUUUUUUUAAAGACCUAAAUUUAAAACUUUAUUAUCAACUUUAUUGAUAUAAAAUUGCUUCAGUUUAUCACUAAAACACUCAUUUUAAGUGGAAAUUAAUUAAUUUAGUUGGUCCUUAUGUGUCAAGUCAGCUUAGCUCCACCGCAGCCUCGGUCACUCAGGUCAAGGAAGAGGGAAUGUCCAAGUGAUGAAAUCUCAGAGACUGAUGAUGUCCCGGCUACUCUCCAUCAUCAGGACACUGAAGUAAAUAAUACAGCAGUGGCCGCACUGUUACAGUGCCACCACUCCCCUCUGCAGGAAUCUACUAUGAUUUCAACUCAACAGUAUGAGGCAGCAGAACAGUCGUCUCUCGCCAAACAAGAUCCUAACACAGAAGAAAAACAACCAGAAGCAACAAAUGUGGCGGUUAAAGCUCUUGAAGAGCAAGAAGAGACCGCAGUUACCAAUCCCAACAAUGAUUUUCAUCCGGAGGGCGUUAAAGUACAUCCUGAUAAUGAUGCUAACAAGAGUGGAAAGGACCAGGAGGAAUGUAACAGCUCACCGUCUCAAACAUGCACCGAUCAACUCCAGGUCUUCUUGCCGAUCUCUGAAGAGGGUGAUUUGGAGGAGCAACUGAGUGCAAAGGAGACCUCUCAAUGCAAUUUGGAGAAAAAACAAGAAGCCAGCCAAGAAAAACCCGGUAAUGUGUACAUGGUUGAUGUCAAGGAAAUCAUAAAGGAGGCCGUUGCGGGGUUACCGGCCAAAAAGAAGCGACGGAUGGGUAUGUGUGGGCUGACAGAGAGAGAGAGGAGUCACUUUUUACACAGCACGAAAGCGUGA